This 3445-nucleotide long non-coding RNA is filed under the name Homo sapiens (human). RNAcentral describes it as "long non-coding RNA NONHSAT189953.1". The record is from RNAcentral. Lineage: Eukaryota; Metazoa; Chordata; Mammalia; Primates; Hominidae.
UGCAGAAGUGCCGAGUCCCGGCCGGGGGCAGCCUCGCCGCCGCUCAGCUCGGGAAUCCCUGCCCCCCACCAGCACCUCAGUGGGGGAUACUGCAAGUUCAACCGGCCUCCUCCGAAGGGAACCCCUGCACCCCAGCGGGGUCAGCACAAGAAUUGGGGCCAGGAUCAGGUGGUGACAGAGCCACCUGGGUUUCCGGAGACUCUCAAGCCAACCCCAAGUCAUGACAAAUGCCAGUCGCCUUGGACAGAGGCAAGGGCCUGGACGCAGAGACCAGAGGCCUGAACUGGCAGACUGUCCUCACAGGCUGUGUGACGCUGGCUGGUCGUCCCAUCUCUCUGGGGCCCCACAGGACUGGGGACCAGGUCGUGGAAUGACAGUGGACCACAGUGGUCCGGGGACCCCGCUCGUUGGUGGCAGGCACAGGCCCGUGUGAUGGGGACAAUGAGCUUUGCACCAGCCUCACAGUAACAGCCGGCACACAGCACUUAGGCUGCCUGGUGUUCCAGAAGCUUCUGCAGGGGCUCUAUGCUGCACUCAAGGCAUCCCUAAGAGGAGAGCAUUUUGCUGUCCCCACUUUACGGAGAAGGAACGUGGGCUCAGGGUGGUUUAAGGCGUGAAUGAAUGAAGGAGCAAGCAGUAAGCCCCGACAGCAAGGCCACCACAGCCCUCGCCCCACAGGGACGCCUGAGCAAGGACCCAAGCAGGGGACAAGCAGGCUCACCCCGCCCUUGCGGGGCUGACCACGAGGCCCCGUCCGGUGGAACACGCCAUGACGCUUCAGGAGGCUCAUGUAGCUGGCGCCGUAUGGGACAGCGGGGGAGAGAGAAAAUGCACAGCCCAGGGAAUGUGGAGACAGGCCCAGCGCCAGGCAUGGGGGCCGGAAGGAGCAGCCGGGGAGCAGGGGGCAGGGCCUGGAGUCCCGCCUUGCAGAUCUGAACCUGCCCCAGCCCCAGGACUCUGAGUGCAGCAAGAGGGGAGCCGGGCUGGAGAGUGGGGAGCACGGAGACUGUGGCCUGGAUGGUGCCAGAGCAAACAGGAGAGAGGCUGCCCAACGCAGAGGCUGCAGCACAGACCAGAGGGUCCCGGGGCUGACUGGGUGGGGGCAGCUCCCAGCGAGAGGCCCCUGGGAUUUGGGUAAGUAGAGGCACAUGCAGACUCUGGCCACAGGGCACCUCGCGCACGAGGGGAGUUCACCACACAAGCUGAGCGGAGGGCGGACGCAGGAGAGCAGCGGUUUCUCGGAAGCCAAGGGCGGUCAUGGAGCCCCACGCCACAGCGCUUCCCACGGGGCCACACCAUCCGGUCUGCGGAGGGGGCUGCAUUGCCGGGAAGGACCAUCUGAUUCUGGAUUCCAGCCUCACCCUGGGCCACCGCUGAGUGUCCCAAGUGGCCCCUUAGCCCCCAGGGCCAGGCGGCAUCCCAAUCCCCUAGGGAUGUCUGUGCUCAGAAUGUGGCACACACGCCCCGGCAGGGCCAUCCUCCUCCUCCUGCACCCGCCACAGCCGUGGAUUCGGGGUCUCUAUCGUGGGCAGAAAUUCACACAGUCAAGGUGAGGGUCCCAGGAGCAGCUGUGACCAGGCCCCGGCUGCCAGGGAGAGGGGGUCUUCAGCCGACGGGGCAGACACCCUGAGAUGGACCCUUGUCCAGGGGAGGGCCCUGCCACCCACAAUUCCUUGGCAUUCCUGCACCAGCAGGACGGGCUGAGGGAGGCGCCUCACCAGUGCCAGCGCCCAGCAUCACUGUGCCCCGGUGGAGGGGGAGGCCCUUCCGAGCCUGGGCCUGGGUGUGGAUGAGGGCAGGUCUCUCACCUCUCUGACCUCAGCUUCCUCAACUGGGAAGGGGGGCCACAGCACCCCCUUAGGGGUGAUGAGGAAGUGGGAGCUCAGGGAGGACCCCGGGCAGGGCUGCCUCCUCACCUCUCUUCGGCCUUUGGACACUGGAGCUCAGAGGACCAAGUGAAUGAAUGAAUGACUCGAUCAAUCAACUGAUCCAUGAAUCCAUGGACCCCUGAACAGCUGGACAGCUGGGCUGUGGGCAGGACAGGGGACUCUGGCUGAAGCCGCGUUCAUAUGUGUUCAGCUUUGUGAGUGGGGCGAGGUUGAGGGCUUAUUCAGUGGGGGAGGUGCACGGCAGGGCCAGUACCCUUGGAGGGUCAGGCCACAGGGGCGGGGACACCUGCCAGGAUGCCCAACCCCAGAGGCAGUGGGAGCUGUUGGGGAGCCGUGGUCCCAGUCAGCGGUGGCUUGAUGAGGGCUGCUCCCACUUCAUCCGCAGGAUUCCAGCCGCAGCUACCCCACACCCGAGCUGUCCCUAGUCGCCCACCGCGGCCGGACAAAGCCCCAGCAGCCAAGGUGCUCCGUGGGGAGGGUUUCUUGGGUUUCUUGAAGCCAGUAUUUCCCAUAGUAUCUUACGUCCCAGCAGAGGCCUCCACUGUGCCCGGACCAGCGGCCCACUCAGUGAGUCGAGUGUGCACCUGGCACCCCUCUUUCUGGAAAUCCACGAACAAUGGGCUCCCAGCAGAGGACUGAGGCUGAGCAGGCCACUUCCCUGGAGCUGACCCCACAGCUGUGUAGGUACAGGGUGGCCGUGAACACUUAGGGCUCUCUCGGGCUGUGCGCUUCUUGUUCACUGCAAGGAGCAGGGUGUUGGCUCCUGACCAAGCCCUGUCACUGCUGCCCAGCCACACGUGGGGCCCCUUCACCCACCCCUGACCACCUCAUGCAGGUGAAGCCACUGUGGAAACAGCCUGGCAGUCCCUUGAAAAAUGAAGUCAUAAACCCCAGCAAUUGCACUCCUGGGCCUCUGACAGAGCUUGCACGUCCCCUCCAAAGCUCGUGUUAAGCUGUGAGCCCCAGUGCCGGAGGUGGGGCCUGGUGUGUUUGGGUUCUGGGGGUGGAUCCCUCAUGGCUGGGUGCCAUGAACCCACUCACCACAGUGAGUUCUCACGAGAUCUGGUUGUUGAGAAGUGUGUCAUACCUCCCCCACAACUCUCUGUCUUUUGUUCCGGCUCUGGCAAUGUAACAAGCCUGCUCCUCCUUCGCCUUCUGCCAUGACUGUAAGCUUUCUGAGGGCUGACCAGAAGCCCAGCAGAUGCCAGCACCAUGCUUCCUAUACAGCCUGCAGAACCGUGAGCCAGCUAAACCUCUCCUCAUAAAUCACCGAGCCCCAGGUUUAUCUUUACAGCAAUGCAAGACCUGACUAAUACAGCACCAGCUCCCCAAAAUAAAAAGAAAUAUUCAAACAAAUAAGCGCACAGAAGUGUUCCCAGCAGCACUAUUCACAGCAGCCAAAAGGCGGAGGAGCCACAGGCUUGUCAGCUGAUGACAGAUAAAGAAAGCAUGGCCUGUCAUCCCAGCACUUUGGGAGGCCGAGGUGGGUGGAUCACCUGAGGUUGGGAGUUCAAGACCAGCCUGGCCAACAUGGUGAAACCCAGUCUCUACUAAAA